GUGGAGGUGCGGAGAAGCUCCCUCUCCUACCUUUCUGGAGGGAUGUGGGGGCCCGUGCCCUCUGUGGACCCCUUGUGAUCUUGGAUUUAUUCACCUGUCUUCACCCAGACCUGCUGCUGUCAGCUGUGUGCUCCAGAUUGGACGCCGAGGCUGCCCUGCUCCCGCACCGGGAGUUGGGCUAGAGGGCAGGACCAAGGGACCCGUGGGCAGGUGUCCCCUCUGAGAUCAGGCAGAUGCUUCUCUGCCCCCUCCCAUGUUUCCUUGCGCCCCUCUUAGCAGAGACUUCAUGGUCACCCUGUCUUCUUAUGAAAGGGAUGCUCUUUCUCCAUCUCCAAACUUCAGGACUGUUCAAGGUAUUCUGAGAUAUUCAGAACCUACCCACCCAGGAACACAGAUCCGAAGCCUAGCCUUGCCCUGAACUGGGAAGCUGGGGUCACUUCUCCUAAGGGCUCCACAUCCCCCAGGGGAGGGUAAGUGCAAGUGGUCACCUGCGUCUCACCCUUGAGAGACACGAGCAGUCAACCAGGCACCUGCCUCCCAGGGGUGGCCUGUGCCGCUUGGGACCCCAGGACUCCUGGGUGUCAGCACCUGCACAGGAACCACUUCUCCACACCUCAGCUGGACGGCUUCCUUCCCAGUAAAGUUUAGAUGGUCUUGGAGAUGGGUCAUAGGGACUCAACUAUUUUGAGAUAACCAUUGCGUGGCCCUUCUGAUUGUUUUUCUUCCUCCGUGAUGAGGUUUUGAAAGUAAGAAAGGAAGGUGCCCUGAGGAACGAGAUAAAAGGAUUAAAACGAAGGCAGACACGACAGCCAGGCAAUGUUUCCGAGAUGCCCCUGACGACCUGCAGGAAAAUCCUUCCUUGUAAUUGUCACUAAAGGGUUUAUACAAUUUCCUGCCCAGAUUGGCGGUGUUGUGACCAGCAGUGCAUAAUUAAAGUGCGUUCCAAAGGGAAAGACAGUGACUCAGGGGAUGCUGAUGAUUACCAUGGACCCGCCAGACGAGCCGGGGUUGUCUCUGACUUCAGAACUUAACCACAUCUUCAGAGUCCCUUUGGCCCGGUUUAUCCCCAGGCUGGAAUCACCGAUCCUAUGGUCACCCCACAGUUCACAUAUUAAGAAAACUUUGUUGUUCUGAGAACAGCCCUGCGAGGGACCAUGGUGGUUCAGUGGCAACUGUGGGGAGCCCGGGCGGUACCCCAGGUGGCUUGGCUGGAGAACCACAUUGGAGAGGAUAGUGGGGUGGACCGCGCUGACCCCACAUGGGAGUGACAAGGACCAUGACGAGGACAAGCGGAGUUAGAAUGAUAACAAUGAGGACAUUGCCAUUCCUGUCUUGUGUGACAACAGGGUCCCCGGACCACAUCACAUGGAAUCAACACGAGGUGUCCUGUGUCCUGUGUCCUGGCAAACUGCUCGCCCCCACAGAGAAAGUGACUCAUGGACCACUUGGGUCUUCGGCUUUUAAAAUUAUGAUUCAAUUUAUCAAAAUCCCACUUAAAAAUAACUUAAAAUUUUUUUUUAACGUUUAUUUAUUUUUGAGACAGAGAGAG
This is a long non-coding RNA of Felis catus (domestic cat), 1549 nucleotides long. RefSeq lists it as uncharacterized. The record is from RefSeq and is a predicted model, not a curated record. The transcript is spliced from 4 exons. NCBI's taxonomy places the organism in Eukaryota, Metazoa, Chordata, Mammalia, Carnivora, Felidae.